CUGUAUAGAACUUGCAUUGUCAUUGUUAGAAAUUGAAAUCUGCUUGUCUUGACUCAGUCCAGUUCUGAUUGUUGCUAUGCCAUAGUUAAAUCCAUCAGUGAUGUCUUAUAAGCAUUUAGAAGUAUGUCUAAGCUACUUGAAUCAUUGGCUUUGAUAAAACUAGUGAGCAUAAGCAUGAAUUGAGUCACUCUUGUCGCCUUGAUUGCAUAAGUAUCAUCUAGACUUGUGUUCCAUUUAGAUUGAAUCUGUUUCAUUCAUAUAGUUAGUGUGUAACCUAAUGCAUUCAUCUAUUGUUGCAUUUAAAAAAAAAAAAAAAAACAAAACUGAA
RNAcentral lists this long non-coding RNA (328 nucleotides) under Brassica rapa (field mustard). RNAcentral describes it as "long non-coding RNA (BRAP_LNC008852)". The record is from RNAcentral. Lineage: Eukaryota; Viridiplantae; Streptophyta; Magnoliopsida; Brassicales; Brassicaceae.